This 253-nucleotide ribosomal RNA is filed under the name uncultured bacterium. Its description in RNAcentral is "partial 16S ribosomal RNA". It matches the Rfam family "Bacterial small subunit ribosomal RNA", at positions 524 to 776 of the family's 1533-position model. The record is from RNAcentral.
UACGUAGGGUGCGAGCGUUGUCCGGAAUUAUUGGGCGUAAAGGGCUCGUAGGCGGUUUGUCGCGUCGGGAGUGAAAACCCAGGGCUUAACCCUGGGCUGGCUUCCGAUACGGGCAGGCUAGAGGGAUGCAGGGGAGAACGGAAUUCCUGGUGUAGCGGUGAAAUGCGCAGAUAUCAGGAGGAACACCGGUGGCGAAGGCGGUUCUCUGGGCAUUACCUGACGCUGAGGAGCGAAAGUGUGGGGAGCGAACAGG